RNAcentral lists this ribosomal RNA (353 nucleotides) under uncultured bacterium. Its description in RNAcentral is "bacterial SSU rRNA". It matches the Rfam family "Bacterial small subunit ribosomal RNA", at positions 29 to 408 of the family's 1533-position model. The record is from RNAcentral.
AACGAACGCUGGCGGCAUGCCUAACACAUGCAAGUCGAACGAGACCUUCGGGUCUAGUGGCGCACGGGUGCGUAACGCGUGGGAAUCUGCCCUUGGGUUCGGAAUAACAGCGAGAAAUUGCUGCUAAUACCGGAUGAUGACGUAAGUCCAAAGAUUUAUCGCCCAAGGAUGAGCCCGCGUAGGAUUAGCUAGUUGGUGAGGUAAAGGCUCACCAUGGCGACGAUCCUUAGCUGGUCUGAGAGGAUGAUCAGCCACACUGGGACUGAGACACGGCCCAGACUCCUACGGGAGGCGAGCAGUGGGGAAUAUUGGACAAUGGGCGAAAGCCUGAUCCAGCAAUGCCGCGUGAGUGA